Molecule: ribosomal RNA, 299 nt
Filed under: uncultured bacterium
Lineage: Bacteria
Description: partial 16S ribosomal RNA
Rfam family: Bacterial small subunit ribosomal RNA
Source: RNAcentral
UAAUACAGAGGGUGCGAGCGUUAAUCGGAAUUACUGGGCGUAAAGCGCACGUAGUCGGCUUUGCAAGUCGGUUGUGAAAUCCCCGGGCUCAACCUGGGAACUGCAUCCGAGACUGCAUUGCUAGAGUAUGGGAGAGGAAAGCGGAAUUUCUGGUGUAGCAGUGAAAUGCGUAGAUAUCAGAAGGAACAUCAGUGGCGAAGGCGGCUUUCUGGACCAAUACUGACGAUCAGGUGCGAAAGCGUGGGGAGCAAACAGGAUUAGAUACCCUGGUAGUCCACGCCCUAAACGAUGACAACUGG